GCGGAGGAAAAGAAACCAACAGGGAUUGCCCUAGUAACGGCGAGUGAAGCGGCAACAGCUCAAAUUUGAAAUCUGGCUCUCGGGCCCGAGUUGUAAUUUGUAGAGGAUGCUUUUGAUGCGGUGCCUUCCGAGUUCCCUGGAACGGGACGCCAUAGAGGGUGAGAGCCCCGUCUGGUUGGAUGCCAAAUCUCUGUAAAGCUCCUUCGACGAGUCGAGUAGUUUGGGAAUGCUGCUCUAAAUGGGAGGUAUAUGUCUUCUAAAGCUAAAUACCGGCCAGAGACCGAUAGCGCACAAGUAGAGUGAUCGAAAGAUGAAAAGCACUUUGAAAAGAGAGUUAAAAAGUACGUGAAAUUGUUGAAAGGGAAGCGUUUAUGACCAGACUUGGGCUUGGUUAAUCAUCUGGGGUUCUCCCCAGUGCACUUUUCCAGUCCAGGCCAGCAUCAGUUUUCGCCGGGGGAUAAAGGCUUCGGGAAUGUGGCUCUCUCCGGGGAGUGUUAUAGCCCGUUGCGUAAUACCCUGGCGGGGACUGAGGUUCGCGCAUCUGCAAGGAUGCUGGCGUAAUGGUCAUCAACGACCCGUCUUG
Molecule: ribosomal RNA, 583 nt
Filed under: Fusarium equiseti
Lineage: Eukaryota; Fungi; Ascomycota; Sordariomycetes; Hypocreales; Nectriaceae
Description: partial large subunit ribosomal RNA
Rfam family: Eukaryotic large subunit ribosomal RNA
Source: RNAcentral